GACGAACGCUGGCGGCGUGCUUAACACAUGCAAGUCGAACGGAAAGGCCCCUUUGGGGGUGCUCGAGUGGCGAACGGGUGAGUAACACGUGGGUGAUCUGCCCUGCACUUCGGGAUAAGCUUGGGAAACUGGGUCUAAUACCGGAUAGGACCAUGGCAUGCAUGUGCUGUGGUGGAAAGAUUUUAUCGGUGUGGGAUGGGCCCGCGGCCUAUCAGCUUGUUGGUGGGGUGAUGGCCUACCAAGGCGACGACGGGUAGCCGGCCUGAGAGGGUGUCCGGCCACACUGGGACUGAGAUACGGCCCAGACUCCUACGGGAGGCAGCAGUGGGGAAUAUUGCACAAUGGGCGCAAGCCUGAUGCAGCGACGCCGCGUGGGGGAUGACGGCCUUCGGGUUGUAAACCUCUUUCACCAUCGACGAAGGCCUGCUUUUGGGUGGGUUGACGGUAGGUGGAGAAGAAGCACCGGCCAACUACGUGCCAGCCGCCGCCGUAACAC
This 496-nucleotide ribosomal RNA is filed under the name uncultured bacterium. RNAcentral's name for it is "bacterial SSU rRNA". It matches the Rfam family "Bacterial small subunit ribosomal RNA", at positions 28 to 526 of the family's 1533-position model. The record is from RNAcentral.